AUAUUUAACUGGCAAAGAAGAUACCAUGGUCAUGAAGAUGUUUUUUUUUCCAGGGAGAACCUUCUCCACUGCAUUCCAGAUGUGCUGACCCCUACAAUUUUCCCAAAUGUGGGAAACUCUACUUCAUAAUUUAUGGUAGUAGAGAACAAAUUUAGCACUCUUG
Molecule: small nuclear RNA, 163 nt
Organism: Sorex fumeus (smoky shrew)
Lineage: Eukaryota; Metazoa; Chordata; Mammalia; Eulipotyphla; Soricidae
Product: U1 spliceosomal RNA
Exons: 1
Source: RefSeq, a predicted model, not a curated record